UAUUUGCACUCAUUUUCAGAGGUAAAAAAAUCUCUUGGAUGGCCGGUGACCCCCAAAUUUUAUUCCAAUUUUAUAAAAUAGAGACAUCAAGCUUUACAGUAUGAAAAUAUGAGCAACUUCUGUCAUUUAUUUUGCUCUGAAAAUUCAAUCAAAGAGAUUUUAUGUCUGUUUUCCCUAUAUUUAGCCUAUUUGCACUCAUUUUCAGAGGUCAAAAAAUCUCUUGGAUGGCCG
Molecule: long non-coding RNA, 231 nt
Filed under: Mytilus galloprovincialis (Mediterranean mussel)
Lineage: Eukaryota; Metazoa; Mollusca; Bivalvia; Mytilida; Mytilidae
Source: RNAcentral